RNAcentral lists this ribosomal RNA (699 nucleotides) under Triticum aestivum (bread wheat). RNAcentral describes it as "partial small subunit ribosomal RNA". Lineage: Eukaryota; Viridiplantae; Streptophyta; Magnoliopsida; Poales; Poaceae. The record is from RNAcentral.
CUCAGCAAAGCUCUCGGACCAAGGACAAGAGGUCUCUCCACAUAUGCAAAGGAGUAUCUGGCAAUGGUCUUUGCUAUGGGCCAAUGGCGAGCUUAUCUAUAAUUUUCAGAAUUUAUUAUCAAAAUGGACCAAAACAUUCUGGUACACCUCGAAGAGCGGCGCUUGCACACCCCUUGGCAACAAAAGGCCUUCACCAAACUAUUGGGUCUCCAAUACCAAAUUAUCUACUGUAAAGGGCCGGACAAUAGUGCAGCAGACGCCCUCUCCAGGAGACCCCUUGACACAUCACAACACGUCAAUUAUAUCUCAGUGUGCCAACCAGCAUGGCUCCAAGCAGUGACACAAGGAUAUGUCCAUGAUACGAAGGCUCAACAGCUCAUCACCCAAUUGGCAUUGGCACCAGUGGCGGGCGGGAAGUUCACUUUUCAGCAAGGCGUGUUGCGGUUCAGGGACAGAGUUUGGUUGGACAACAAUGUUGAAAUGCAUGGUCAGAUCAUGCGUGCUCUCCACGAUAGCCCUGUGGGUGGCCACUCGGGAUUUCCUCCUACAUAUAGUAGAAUCAAGAAACUUUUUGUGUGGCCAGGCAUGAAGCAACAUAUCAUGACGCAUGUCCAGACCUGCCAGGUGUGUCAACAGGCUAAACCCGAUCUAUAUCCCUAUCCAGGACUUCUCCAACCCUUACCAGUGGCAAAAAGAUGA